AAACUUUCAACAACGGAUCUCUUGGUUCUGCAUCGAUGAAGAACGCAGCGAAAUGCGAUAAGUAAUGUGAAUUGCAGAAUUCAGUGAAUCAUUGAAUCUUUGAACGCACAUUGCGCCCCUCGGUAUUCCGAGGGGCAUGCCUGUUCGAGCGUCAUC
This 156-nucleotide ribosomal RNA is filed under the name Neoscytalidium dimidiatum. RNAcentral describes it as "5.8S ribosomal RNA". It matches the Rfam family "5.8S ribosomal RNA". From Rfam's summary of the family: 5.8S ribosomal RNA (5.8S rRNA) is a component of the large subunit of the eukaryotic ribosome. It is transcribed by RNA polymerase I as part of the 45S precursor that also contains 18S and 28S rRNA. The record is from RNAcentral. Lineage: Eukaryota; Fungi; Ascomycota; Dothideomycetes; Botryosphaeriales; Botryosphaeriaceae.